This 291-nucleotide long non-coding RNA is filed under the name Elaeis guineensis (African oil palm). RNAcentral's name for it is "long non-coding RNA (EGUI_LNC033317)". The record is from RNAcentral. Lineage: Eukaryota; Viridiplantae; Streptophyta; Magnoliopsida; Arecales; Arecaceae.
AUGACGACAUCAUCAUCAGUGAGGAUGACUUCGAUAGGAGGUGGCAGUGAAGAUUGCUCCAAUGGUCAUCAGGAUGACGACGGUGGCUGUGUACUCCUCGACACCUAAGGAGGAGAUCCUUGCCUCGACUGCUUCAACGGUCGAAAAAGUCCACCAGGCCUGGAUUCCAGCUUCUUCUUGACAGCACGUCGGAGGGAUUCAGUCGAGAUCCUCAUGCCUACAAGACAAUAUCAAAAAAUGAGUUAGUCUACAAUAAAGAAAAGAGAAGAGAACUAUAACGAUCUAUAGAAG